This 521-nucleotide ribosomal RNA is filed under the name Paroigolaimella bernensis. RNAcentral describes it as "SSU rRNA". It matches the Rfam family "Eukaryotic small subunit ribosomal RNA", at positions 571 to 1104 of the family's 1831-position model. Lineage: Eukaryota; Metazoa; Nematoda; Chromadorea; Rhabditida; Diplogasteridae. The record is from RNAcentral.
CAGCCGCGGUAAUUCCAGCUCUCAAAGUGUAUAUCGUCAUUGCUGCGGUUAAAAAGCUCGUAGUUGGAUCUGAGUCUCUGGACGCGGUGCUCCUUGUGAGUAACUGUGCUCCGUGACUGUAUUGUCGGUUUGCCUUGGUUUGCCUUAACCGGUAGGCCUUGGUGGCUGGCGUGUUUACCUUGAAUAAAUUAGAGUGCUCAAGACAAGCGUUUCGCUUGAAUAUCCGUGCAUGGAAUAAUGGAAUAGGACUUCGGUUCAUUCUGUUGGUCUUGGAACCGAAGUAAUGGUUAAGAGGGACUGACGGGGGCAUCCGUAUCGCUGCGUGAGAGGUGAAAUUCUUGGACCGCAGCGGGACGUCCAACUGCGAAAGCAUUUGCCAAGAAUGUCUUCAUUAAUCAAGAACGAAAGUCAGAGGAUCGAAGGCGAUUAGAUACCGCCCUAGUUCUGACCGUAAACGAUACCAACUAGCGAUCAGGUGCUGAUAGUUUAGUCGCGCCUGGGAGCUUCCCGGAAACGAAAGU